This 459-nucleotide ribosomal RNA is filed under the name uncultured bacterium. Its description in RNAcentral is "partial 16S ribosomal RNA". It matches the Rfam family "Bacterial small subunit ribosomal RNA", at positions 338 to 795 of the family's 1533-position model. The record is from RNAcentral.
CCUACGGGUGGCAGCAGUGAGGAAUAUUGGUCAAUGGGCGGGAGCCUGAACCAGCCAAGUCGCGUGAGGGAAGAAGGUACUGCGUAUUGUAAACCUCUUUUGCCAGGGGACAAAGGCGGCCACGGGUGGCCGGAAGAGGGUACCUGGAGAAAAAGCAUCGGCUAACUCCGUGCCAGCAGCCGCGGUAAUACGGAGGAUGCGAGCGUUAUCCGGAUUUAUUGGGUUUAAAGGGUGCGCAGGCGGCGUGUCAAGUCAGCGGUAAAAUGUCGGGGCUCAACCCCGGCGGGCCGUUGAAACUGGCGGGCUCGAGUUGGAGAGAAGUACGCGGAAUGCGUGGUGUAGCGGUGAAAUGCAUAGAUAUCACGAAGAACCCCGAUUGCGAAGGCAGCAUACCGGCUCCACACUGACGCUGAGGCACGAAAGCGUGGGUAUCGAACAGGAUUAGAUACCCCAGUAGUC